This 467-nucleotide ribosomal RNA is filed under the name uncultured bacterium. RNAcentral's name for it is "partial 16S ribosomal RNA". It matches the Rfam family "Bacterial small subunit ribosomal RNA", at positions 28 to 506 of the family's 1533-position model. The record is from RNAcentral.
GACGAACGCUGGCGGCGUGCUUAACACAUGCAAGUCGAACGGAAAGGCCCUGCUUUUGUGGGGUGCUCGAGUGGCGAACGGGUGAGUAACACGUGAGUAACCUGCCCUUGACCUUGGGAUAACUUCAGGAAACUGGGGCGAAUACCGGAUAGGAUCUCCUGCUGCAUGGUGGGGGUUGGAAAGAUUCGGCGGUUGGGGAUGGACUCGCGGCUUAUCAGCUUGUUGGUGGGGUAGUGGCUUACCAAGGCUUUGACGGGUAGCCGGCCUGGGAGGGUGACCGGCCACAUUGGGACUGAGAUACGGCCCAGACUCCUACGGGAGGCAGCAGUGGGGAAUAUUGCACAAUGGGCGGAAGCAGGAUGCAGCAACGCCGCGUGCGGGAUGACGGCCUUCGGGUAGUAAACCGCUUUCGCCUGUGACGAAGCGUGAGUGACGGUAAUGGGGAAAGAAGCACCGGCUAACUACGU